RNAcentral lists this ribosomal RNA (253 nucleotides) under uncultured bacterium. Its description in RNAcentral is "partial 16S ribosomal RNA". It matches the Rfam family "Bacterial small subunit ribosomal RNA", at positions 524 to 776 of the family's 1533-position model. The record is from RNAcentral.
UACGGAGGGUGCGAGCGUUGUCCGGAAUCACUGGGCGUAAAGGGCGCGUAGGCGGCGCGGAUAGUCGGCGGUGAAAGCCCGGAGCUCAACUCCGGGUCGGCCGUCGAUACUUCCGGGCUUGGGCACUGUAGAGGCAGAUGGAAUUCCGGGUGUAGCGGUGGAAUGCGUAGAGAUCCGGAAGAACACCGGUGGCGAAGGCGGUCUGCUGGGCAGUUGCUGACGCUGAUGCGCGACAGCGUGGGGAGCAAACAGG